Mesocricetus auratus (golden hamster) is the source of this 1540-nucleotide long non-coding RNA. RefSeq lists it as uncharacterized. NCBI's taxonomy places the organism in Eukaryota, Metazoa, Chordata, Mammalia, Rodentia, Cricetidae. The record is from RefSeq and is a predicted model, not a curated record. The transcript has 3 exons.
UCUGCUUCCCAGGAGAGGAGGAUCCUGUCCUGGGGGCUGUUUCCUCUUUCCUGAACUGGCUGUUUCCCUCUCUCUGUCCGGCUGAGAGUGUGUGCUCAGAGGGCAGCUGAAGGCCUUGCACAAUCUCAGGUCAGGAAAGGCCUAAACGGGGGACAGCCCCCACUGGACAAGGCUUGAGCACUUGGGCAACUGAAGUGGGACCUAGGGCCACAGUGAAGCUUUCUCCCAGGCAAAUGGGAAGAGGGGCUAGUGUUCUUGUUCUCCAGUAAAGCCAAGCCUAGCCUGUCUCUGGGCCACGAAGCCUUUGAGGAGAGUCCCUGGCAGCCGGCUCUCCAGUACCUUGCAGACCACGUACAUCCACCCCGUGACAGCCACGCUGUGAGACGGAAGCUAUACCAGAAAAUGCUAGAGUGAUCAAGAACCAGAGACUAGAUGGCCCAGGCACCUAGGAUCAGUGCCUCGCUCAGCCAUCAUCAGAGAGAAACUUCCUCCUGCAGUGUGAAACAAAUACACAGACCCACAGCCAGACAUUACUCAGAGAUAGAGAGACCUUAGAACACUCGGUUCUAAACGAAAUGUCUCCAGCAAAUCCUUCCCCUCAGAGCUCAGGGAAUCCCACAGAAGAGGAGGGAAGACAGUAAGAGCCAGAGGGGAUGACAGACACCAGGAGAGCAAGGCCGCCUGAAUCCACUGAGCAAGGACCAUGUGAACUCACAGAGACCGAAGCCACAAGCCCAGGGCCUGCUGGUCUGCACCAGGUCCUCCGUGUAUGUAUUAUGGCUUCCAGUUUAGCACUUUUAUGGAGUUCCCAAGUGUGUGAACAAGAGGGUCUCUGAUUCUUGUACCUGCUCUUGAGUUCUUUUCCUUCUGUUGGGUCACCUGGUUCAGACUCAACGUUAGGGGUUUUGUUUUAUCUUAUUUUAUCUUGUUGUUAUCUCUUUGAAGUCUGUUCUUUUUUAGUAAGUGACAGAAAGAGUGGAUCUGAUGAGUGGGGAUAUGGGGCAGGAACUGGGAGGAAUAGAGGGAGGGGGAACUAUAUUGUCUGAGAAAAUAAUCCAUUUUCAAUAAAAGGGGAAAAGUUGGUUACAAAAUAGCAGUAGUAUAAAUAAAACAGAAUGUGUCACCUUUUCUCUCAAGUUGGCAUUGGCAUACAACUUAUUUUUGUGUGUGGAUGGGUUGAAAUAGGGUCUUUAUUAUAUAGUCCUGAUUGGUCUUGAACUUGUGAUCUCUUGCCACAGUUUCCAAGUGCUGGGAUUAUAGCUCUGGGCUACCAUAUCCAUCUGUCAACUUGAUCAUUGUGAAACCGAACCUUUUGUUUUUAAGUCAGCUGUCUUCAAUAGUCUUGCUUCUACUCAUGGUCCAAGGUGGCUUCUGGGGCUCCAGUCAUUAAGCAAGACAGAGGAAGGGUCAAUGCAAUUCAUGCCCAACUUUGUAACAUUUCCUUAAAUUGCAUACUUCAAGCUUUUUUAUGUCAGUCUAGCUAGAAAUUAGUCACGAGGUCUUAUGUAAUUGUUCUAAUAGAGAAUAUUCCCUGAGUAAA